RNAcentral lists this small RNA (94 nucleotides) under Pedobacter zeae. Its description in RNAcentral is "Flavo-1 RNA". It matches the Rfam family "Flavo-1 RNA". Lineage: Bacteria; Pseudomonadati; Bacteroidota; Sphingobacteriia; Sphingobacteriales; Sphingobacteriaceae. The record is from RNAcentral.
AACUCAACUCGAUUGAAGCGGCAUCCUUUUUGGCUGUCCCCCCUGGAAGUAUCAGAAUGCAGCCAAAAAAAUACAGCGCAAAGCGAGGACUCAC